Molecule: ribosomal RNA, 497 nt
Filed under: uncultured Actinomycetes bacterium
Lineage: Bacteria; Bacillati; Actinomycetota; Actinomycetes
Description: bacterial SSU rRNA
Rfam family: Bacterial small subunit ribosomal RNA
Source: RNAcentral
AGCCUGACGCAGCGACGCCGCGUGAGGGAUGACGGCCUUCGGGUUGUAAACCUCUCUCAGCAGGGACGAAUUUGACGGUACCUGUAGAAGAAGCACCGGCCAACUACGUGCCAGCAGCCGCGGUAAUACGUAGGGUGCGAGCGUUGUCCGGAAUUAUUGGGCGUAAAGAGCUCGUAGGCGGUCUGUCGCGUCGAAUGUGAAAACCCGGGGCUCAACUCCGGGCUUGCAUUCGAUACGGGCAGGCUAGAGUUCGGUAGGGGAGUCUGGAAUUCCUGGUGUAGCGGUGAAAUACGCAGAUAUCAGGAGGAACACCGGUGGCGAAGGCGGGACUCUGGGCCGAUACUGACGCUGAGGAGCGAAAGCGUGGGGAGCGAACAGGAUUAGAUACCCUGGUAGUCCACGCCGUAAACGUUGGGCGCUAGGUGUGGGGGUCCUUCCACGACCUCCGUGCCGCAGCUAACGCAUUAAGCGCCCCGCCUGGGGAGUACGGCCGUAAG